GAAGCUCGCCAGACCGCCGCUGGUGCAAUGCCCGAAAGGGUGCACUGGAGGAACGUCCGGACUGCACAGGACAGCGUAGGAGGUAACGCCUCUCCACCGUGAGGUGAGGAUCAGAGCAACAGAGACGAGUCGAACCGGCGCAACCUGGUUCGGGUGAAACGGGCAAUCUCUACGCGCAGCAAUACCAAGUAGGCCAACGUUGAUGUGGUUCCGCAGAGUUGGCGGGUAGGUAGCAUCGAGCCGGGUGGGCGACUCCCGGCCCAGAGUAAUGGCGGUCACACAGCGGGCAACCGCUGUGCACAGAAUCCGGCUUAUCGGCGAGCUUCACAC
This 330-nucleotide RNase P RNA is filed under the name Limnohabitans sp. Jir72. Its description in RNAcentral is "RNase P RNA component class A". It matches the Rfam family "Bacterial RNase P class A". From Rfam's summary of the family: Ribonuclease P (RNase P) is a ubiquitous endoribonuclease, found in archaea, bacteria and eukarya as well as chloroplasts and mitochondria. Its best characterised activity is the generation of mature 5'-ends of tRNAs by cleaving the 5'-leader elements of precursor-tRNAs. Cellular RNase Ps are ribonucleoproteins. Lineage: Bacteria; Pseudomonadati; Pseudomonadota; Betaproteobacteria; Burkholderiales; Comamonadaceae. The record is from RNAcentral.